CAGCAGCCGCGGUAAUACCGGCGGCCCGAGUGGUGGCCGCUAUUAUUGGGCCUAAAGCGUCCGUAGCCGGGCCCGUAAGUCCCUGGCGAAAUCCCACGGCUCAACCGUGGGGCUUGCUGGGGAUACUGCGGGCCUUGGGACCGGGAGAGGCGGGGGGGACCCCUGGGGGAGGGGUGGAAUCCUAUAAUCCCAGGGGGACCGCCAGUGGCGAAGGCGCCCCGCUGGAACGGGUCCGACGGUGAGGGACGAAGGCCAGGGGAGCAAACCGGAUUAGAUACCCGGGUAGUCCUGGCUGUAAAGGAUGCGGGCUAGGUGUCGGGUGAGCUUCGGGCUCGCCCGGUGCCGUAGGGAAGCCGUUAAGCCCGCCGCCUGGGGAGUACGGCCGCAAGGCUGAAACUUAAAGGAAUUGGCGGG
Molecule: ribosomal RNA, 414 nt
Filed under: uncultured microorganism
Description: bacterial SSU rRNA
Rfam family: Archaeal small subunit ribosomal RNA
Source: RNAcentral